Molecule: transfer RNA, 544 nt
Filed under: uncultured Prochlorococcus sp.
Lineage: Bacteria; Bacillati; Cyanobacteriota; Cyanophyceae; Synechococcales; Prochlorococcaceae
Description: partial 16S-23S ribosomal RNA intergenic spacer
Rfam family: tRNA (bases 210-282)
Source: RNAcentral
CAGGGAGACAACAAAAUGUUUGUUAUAAAUUUUGUCACCUUAGGUCGAUCGGAACCUCUGAUUUUUGGAUUUUUCGAAAAUUUCAAUUUCCUAAGUUUUUUCUAGGUCACACCCAUUUUUUUCCUGGGCCAUUAGCUCAGGUGGUUAGAGCGCACCCCUGAUAAGGGUGAGGUCCCUGGUUCAAGUCCAGGAUGGCCCAUAUCUCUAUUGGGGGUAUAGCUCAGUUGGUAGAGCGCCUGCUUUGCAAGCAGGAUGUCAGCGGUUCGAGUCCGCUUACCUCCACUGAAUACCACCUAAUUCAUUGAAGAGGGAAUUUUUUUGGGUAUGAUUAAAAUCUGGGCGAAUCUAGCCUCCUGUUAAUUUUUUUAAUAAGAUGCUGGAUUCACUGAAUAAACUAAUUCAUUGAUUCCAGAGAACCUUGACAACUGCAUAGAUUUAAUUUUUCAAGACAAUAAGCAUCUUUAAAGAUGCAGAUUUAUUAUUUGUGCUAAUGCAUUAAAUAACAAUUCUAUUGAGCUGAUGCUUCAAAUAUUUUGAAGUUAUU